ACUAGGUGUAGUGGUGUGCAUCUGUAGCCCCAAUUACUCAGGAGUCUGAGGCAGGAGGCUCUCUUGAGCCUAGGAGUUCAAGACCUGCCUUGGCAUCACAGAAGGACUCCAUCUGU
Molecule: small RNA, 116 nt
Filed under: Marmota monax (woodchuck)
Lineage: Eukaryota; Metazoa; Chordata; Mammalia; Rodentia; Sciuridae
Source: RNAcentral